Long non-coding RNA from Pezoporus occidentalis (night parrot), 556 nucleotides. RefSeq lists it as uncharacterized. The record is from RefSeq and is a predicted model, not a curated record. The transcript is spliced from 3 exons. NCBI's taxonomy places the organism in Eukaryota, Metazoa, Chordata, Aves, Psittaciformes, Psittacidae.
GUGUCCCAAUGGUGUCCCAAUGGUGUCCCCACCGUGUCCCCACGGUGUCCUAAUGGUGUCCCCACGGUGUCUCCAUGGUGUCCCCAUGGUGUCCCCACGGUGUCCCCAUGGUGUCCCUAUGGUGUCCCCCUGGUGUCCCCAUGGUGUCACUAUGGUGUCCCAAUGGUGUCCCCAUGGUGUCCCAAUGGUGUCCCUAUGGUGUCCCCAUGGUGUCCUCACGGUGUCCCAAUGGUGUCCCCAUGGUUUCCCCACAGUGUCCCCACAGGUUUGGAAGCUGAAGCAGAUCAAGCCCACACUCAAUGAGAAGCGCAUCCUCCAGGCCGUCACCUUCCCCUUCCUUGUGCGCCUCGAGUCAUCCUUCAAGGUGUCCCCUGCCCCCCCUGGACGUGCCUCGUGCCCCCCAUCAGGACAACUCCAACCUCUACAUGGUCAUGGAAUGCAUCUGGGGGGCGGGAGAUGUUCUCCCACCUGCGCCCCAUUGGCCACUUCAGCGAGCCCCACACCCGCUUCUACGCAGCCCAAAUCUUGGUGACCUCGGAGUCCCUGCACGCGAUGG